GACGAACCGAGCGAACGUUAUUCGGAAUCACUGGGCUUAAAGGGCGCGUAGGCGGGCGGCCGAGUCCGGGGUGAAAGCCCCCAGCUCAACUGGGGAAGUGCCUCGGAUACUGGUCGUCUUGAGGGAGGUAGGGGCAUGUGGAACUUCCGGUGGAGCGGUGAAAUGCGUUGAUAUCGGAAGGAACGCCGGUGGCGAAAGCGACGUGCUGGAUCUCUUCUGACGCUGAGGCGCGAAAGCUAGGGGAGCAAACGGG
Molecule: ribosomal RNA, 253 nt
Filed under: uncultured bacterium
Lineage: Bacteria
Description: partial 16S ribosomal RNA
Rfam family: Bacterial small subunit ribosomal RNA
Source: RNAcentral